RNAcentral lists this small RNA (127 nucleotides) under Salmonella enterica. RNAcentral describes it as "partial RtT sRNA". It matches the Rfam family "RtT RNA", at positions 37 to 130 of the family's 130-position model. Rfam says of the family: This family represents a bacterial cis-regulatory element known as RtT RNA. The exact function of RtT is unknown although it is thought that it may be involved in changing the cellular response in relation to amino acid starvation. Lineage: Bacteria; Pseudomonadati; Pseudomonadota; Gammaproteobacteria; Enterobacterales; Enterobacteriaceae. RNAcentral also lists the same sequence under 7 other names. The record is from RNAcentral.
GCAGGUUCGAAUCCUGCACGACCCACCAAUUUAACAUCAAACUCAGAUGUUGAACGUGAAGGAUAACGUUGCGUCAGCAACGGCCCGUAGGGCGAGGCGAAGCCGAGUCAUCCUGCACGACCCACCA